Peromyscus maniculatus bairdii (prairie deer mouse) is the source of this 938-nucleotide non-coding RNA. The record is from RefSeq and is a predicted model, not a curated record. Lineage: Eukaryota; Metazoa; Chordata; Mammalia; Rodentia; Cricetidae.
UUAGUCUGCUGGUUCACGCAACUGAACACAAACAUCUGCCCCGAGCUCGGGUCCAAAUCCUUGCUUCUCCCGUCUCCCGAAGCCCCCCGACUGUGAGUCUCCCAAAGAGCAGGGGACAUGUUGGGUUAAAGGGACGUGGGGGAUGAGACUGCAGGGCGAGAGAGUGGGUGCGUGCGAUGACCAAGAAGAUGGGGACUACCGGCCCGUCAAGAAACUAGAACAGAGAGAUGCUGACACCAAAGGAAGAAACGAUCCAGACAGCAUCGUCUCAUACCUGGGAAACCCAAAGUCCUUGAACGAAGAAGCAUCCCAAAUCUAACGAGGAUGAACAGAAGGGCCCGUUUGUUGCCUGUGGGAGGGCGGAAUGGCACAGCCGGGCUGGAAGUCUCUUCAGCAAUUCCCCACAAAAGUGAGAUCCUGUCACCCUGUGGGGCAGCAGCCCAGACCCUUGGUGGUUAGCUAAAUUAAACAAAAUCUUCGAACCACAUGAAACCUGAACAAAAAUGUUUGUAUCAGCUUCAUCCAAAUUGCCAAAGCUUGGUAUAUAAUGAAGGUGCCUUCAAGGGGUGAUGGUCCGGACUCUCCAGACAAUGGAAUAUUAUCGAGUGCUGAGAAGAAAUGAGCUUUCUAGUCUUGGCGACACCGAGAACUCUCGAGUGCAUACGACUAGGGGAGAGGGGACAGCAAAGCGUUUGGACAGUCCCUCUGACUGUGGGACCUUCUGGGAAAGCCAAAGCUGUGAAACGGUAGAAAGAUGAGAGGAUGGCCCGAAGGAAGAGGAAGAGCAUGAAGGAUUUGGUCCCAUCGGUGAAACCGUUCUAUGUGGGAUCAAUUUGUCCAAAGCCAUGCGAUGUACAAUUCUUAGAGUGAGGCCAAGGCAAACCACAGAGCUCAGAGGAUGACGACAAACACAAAACAAGAACUAAAAUCAAAACAGA